UCCAAAGUCAAAAGUAAAGGGUCUUCCAAGGUGAGAUCAAAUGACGUCACCUAUAAGAUGCUGACUUGGCAGGUUGCUUCUGGUGGGCACAGACCCGGUUUGAAGCUUUCCGGGUUCUCGGCUACUGGACUUCUUGAUCUUAUGUCUGAUGAUUAUGGUUAUGAUCAUGAUUAUCAAUCUGAUGAAGAAGAAGAAGAAGAAGAAUACAUAGGAAGUGUUGUAGAGGAAAUUGUGGAUAUACAGAGUGAUGAUGAUGAUGAUGAUGAUGAUGAUGGGGAAAAAGGAGAGGAUGUGUCUCAUGAUGAUAGUGAAAAGGAAGAAUAUGGGUCUCCUGUUGCUGCUGCUGAUGAUGAUGGAAGGAUGAGUUUCUGUGAUGUGGGGGUGAUGAUGAUGAUGAUGGAUCAUGUGGAAGAAUUUGAUGAAGAAGGAUGGUGUUUGGUUGAAGAAAUGAUGACUUAAUUGAUCUAUUUGAUUUAUUCCCCCCAAAUAAUUGUAUUUCCUUUUGCUUUGUAAAUUGUUUUAAUAACUUUGGGGGAUGAAUGAUUAUUAUCUAUGUAAAUGUGAUUUAUUAUUUAAAUCAAAAACUAUGAUUUGUAAUUAUAAUAACUUCUGUAAACUUGAAACAUCUACUUACCAACUCUCAAAUUAUAUCCUGCAAUCAUAUCUCUAUGAACAACAACACUAGCAAACAUAUUAAAAUGAAUGUAAGAUUGCAAAAAAAGAAAAAAAAGUAUUUCACUGAAGAUGAAGAUACAUACAACAUAACUUUCAUUAUAGAGAUACAAUACAAACUUCUUGGUAUUCCAGUUGUUUAGCUACUGUACACUCAAAGAUUCUCUUCUCUUUUACCAUACUUGAAUCCUGAGGACAGAUCUUUCUAAGAGCUUUGAAUCCAGCGGAGAAGAGUCUAUCUUUUAUCCUCAGAGAUUCCUCCUCUGUGUUUUGGUUGGCCCUUCUGUUUCCCCAACCAUCUCAGGGUUGAAGCAAAGACAUAGAAACGGUUUGUUUGGUUUCUUGUCAGUCUUUUUCUGAAAGAACAACACAACCAGUGUCAGUCUUCACAUUAAAUAAUAGAAAUGAGAAAUGUUCAUUCUUCUCAUGAUUUGUUGAAAUCUAAAUUUUACCUUGGAGUUUUGACGUUGAGCCUUAGUGCUGCUGCCCAUCAAAAGCCUACAUCAUAAAAUAAUUAUACAAUUAGGAAAAGAAAAUCAUCAAUUCAAAUGCAAAUUGACUCCAGAGUAGAAAACAAAUCCGGCUUACUUCAAGAAACUGAAUCUUGGACGAACUGAUUUUUCGUUCUUCUUGAUCGAGUCCUCGCUGCAAGAUUAACAUCAUAAAACCAAUCAGAUAAGAGGACAAGAUCAUUAGAGAAAGAACAAAAAACAAUCAAAAGCUGCUUUGCUUACCUUAGUUUCUGUGUGACAACAAGCUCCAUUGCUUUGUCUGGAGUUUCUGAUGGAAACACCGAUGACUUAUUGGUUACAAAUUUUCUCUCUUCUUCUUUUUCUUCAACAGAGGAGCUCUUCUUCAACAAUUCUUCAUCCUCUUCCCUUUCAUCAAGCACUUCAACAACAGCUUGUAAAUCAUCUUCAGUCACCGGUUCAGCUAACGAGCUACCCACCACAACGUCUUCUUGUUCCAAAACUACAACAACACAUUUUGUUUCAGGUUCUUCACUAACUAAUUCAGUUUCACCGCUCUCUUCUUCCUUAGCCUCAUCUUUAGUCAAUGUCUCCAAAGUGUUUAGCAACACCGCAACACUUUCUGGUUGUUGUUGUUGUUGUUUUGAUUCAUCUAAAGAAGUUUUUGCUUUCUUGGAUUCAGCGAUUUUCUUGUAAUGAGCGUCAAAGAAAGCUUUCUUCUGAGCAACGGAUCCAGGCUGAGAAUACUUCUCUGCCUCGUCGACAUACUUCUUGUGCGAGAAACUCGACCAUUUUCCCCAUUCAAGAUUCUCUGUCGUGAACCUACCAAAUGAGACUGAUUGGCUAAGCGCAUGUUUAGUAUUAUCCUGCAAUCCAACAAACCAAAUUUGUAAACUUUCUAUUGAAUCAAAGUGUUUCCAAUCAAAUCAUUAGCUAAAGCGCAAGCCCAAACUCAGUAAAUUAAUAGGAAGAUUCAUACAAAAAACAUUCACAAUUUUUCGUCUCAUAGUCUAUCCAUAAAGUUAAUAACUUGUGAUUUAAAAUCGUCCAGAAAACAUUGAAUUUUCCGGAAAACUUUUGCAAUUAGGAGGAACUCAAUCAAUAAUAAUAGAAAGGAAAGGAACAAACCUGAUGAGUUUCAUUACGAGAAAGAGGAGGAGCUCCGAACGAAUAUGAAUGAAACAGAACAGCAGAUUCACCCAUUCCCAAUCCCCCCCACAAGAUUCUCUAAAAUUGUUUUCCUUCUUUUUUUUGUAAGCCAAAACGGCUAAUAGAAUUCGAACGUUCGGAAACAAUUCUUUUCUCAGACCAAACACAUGUUUUAGAAGACCAUCCGAAGGAGUUUUGUUCGAAUUUGGGUCCCACAAAACAGAAAUAAAAUUUUGAAAAACUUAAGAACCUUUGAGUUUUAUAUAGGGGAAUUUGAUUUGAUAGAAAAAUGCAAAACUGUGCUUAAAUUAUGAACCUAACAAGUUUAACCAAAACACAAUUAUUUCUGCUAUGGUUGUUAACAUGAAGUGGUUGAGAAUUGAAACAAAUGGGGAAAACGAAAUUUUCUGGUGAUGAUAUAAUUAAAAAGUUAUUUUUCUUUGGAAACUCUGUGCUUUCUAAACUGAAUUCUGUGUACCUUUAAAUUGGCAGAUAAUAGUAAUGCGUUUUAAAAUAUCUAUACUAUUAAAAGGGAAAAAGUCCUAAAAAAAUCUACUUAUAAAAAGUUGUUAAACCAUUUCAUUAAAACUAAUAAUAUUUUUGGUCUUGCCAUAAUAUUUGACUAACAAUAAAUCACUUAAAAUUUUUCUAACAAUAAUUUAUUACAUCAUACUUUUUUGUACAUGACAAAGUUAUACGACAUAUCAUAUCAUUUGCUACACAAAAAUGAUAUACGACAUAUAGAUCCAUACAUGUCUCAUUUCACUCAAUAUAAAUGAACUUUCAUCCAGUAUAAAAUCGUUAAUCCAGCAACUAUGUAACAUUAGACUACAUCAUUUCUAUACUUUUGUCCUAUAUUAUGAAAAAGCUCAUUCAUGUCUCAUGUUAAUAUUCAAUCUAUACUAUUAAAUUUGCCAAAAUCCACCAAGUAAAUCAUAAGUUUCACGAGUUCAACAAAUAUAACUCUUAUAAAAUGCACACAAAAUAUAAUAUGAAAGAGUAGGUUUGGGCAUCGGCUCUUCUGGUCGGGUAUAGAUUGGUUCCUUUCGGGUUUAGGUUUUCGGAUCAUAAACAUUUGGACAUAACUAGGUAUUUAAAAAAUAUCGGUUCGGAUUCGGAUCGAUUCCUUUGGAGUCCGGAUCCAUAAUUUAAAUACCUAUAACUUUUGGGUAUGUAACGGCUCCGAAUUGGUUUGAGAUUUUUAGAACUCGGAAAACACUUGAAGUACCCAAAAACCCAAAAAUACUAAAAACACAAAAAAAAUACACGAAAACACAAACAAAUACCAGAAAAAAAUAUUUGAAUUCCAAAAAAAAAAUUACAUAAAUCUGACCUAAGAAAUGGACGAUACCUAAAAACUUUUUCUAAUACCCAAAAUAUUUAUAAAAAAUUAAAAUUUUAUGUGAAACUCGAAACUAUAAUCGAAAACUUGGAUAUGAAACUUAAGAAACUAUUCAUAAUACUGAAAACAUAUUCGAAAUACCAAAUAUAAAUCUGAAAUACCCAAAUAUAGGCUAUAUAGCUAAUAUACACAAGCCAUAUACUUUGGAUACCCAAUUGGGUCUCGGGUAGGACCCAUAAUCAAACAGAGACCAUUGGUUGAAGAAAUAAUCAAAGAUGUACUUUGCCCUGAACCCGGACCCAAACCACAAUUAUAUUUAUGGGUCAGUUUUGGUUAGUUUUUUAGAUCCGAUAAAAUGUCCAAGCUUAAUAAAAAAUUUAUAUAAAAGUGUACAUACAAGAUCUUAUAUAAACUAAUUUAUAAAUUAUAUCAUUUAAAAUAAAUGCACGUCUUCUAUAUAAUGACUUUGUAACAUAAUAAUGUACACCAAUUUCAAAAUACUAAUUCAAAAACUUUGUUUACAAUCCAAAAAAACCCGUGCUUUCUAAGCGCAUGUCAAAAUCUAGUAUUUUAGUUAUUUUUACUAAACAUUUUUUGCUCUAUCAAGUUAUGCUUUAUCAGUGAUAGAAAGUACAUUUAUCAGAUACAAUAUUUUAUAAAAACUCUGGACAAUUUCUCUAUCAAAUUUAAUACCAUUUUUUUUAAAUGUACCUUUAAAAGAUGAUUUUCAUAAAUACUUUAAAUUUGUGAUAAGAAGAUUAAAUUAACUCUCAUAAAAAUCAUUCUUAAAUAUAAAAGAUUAAUUUAUAAAACAUCUAUAGAAGUUUAUAAACUCAACACCACACCCCUUAAAUACUAAUCCUAAACAAUAAUCAAUAAACCCUAAGCUUAAAUGUUACAGUAUUUUUAUUUGAGUGUAUUUUUGAAAAGUAGUAGCUAACUUAGGAUGUUUUUAAGCAAUUUCUCUUUUGAAAAUUAAUUUUCCUAAUUUUAGGAAAGUAUUUGUUGAAAAUUGUGAUUAGUUAAUAAAAUACUUUAUUAAAAUUCAAACCUAAAAUCCUAAUCUUCGCUAAAAGUUAUUUUAAAAACUAUUCUCAAGACUCAGUUUUUUUCUUUCAGUUCAGUUCAGUUUUUAUGUUUUUGGUUUGGUUUUUGCUCUCCGGUUUAAAUCUCAUAAUUAUACGAUGAUUGAUGAUGAUGCAUAUGUUCAGAGGUGCCUUGUGCCACGUCCAGACCUGGGCUUGAGCAGAUACCUAAGAAACAUUUGCAUGGGGCCUACAAAUUGUAUACAUUUUUUGGGUUUGCAUUUUCUGUUUUUAUUGCUAGCAUAUGAAAAUGUUAACAUGAAGUGGUUGAGAAUUGAAACAAAUGGGGAAAACGAAAUUUUCUGGUGAUGAUAUAAUUAAAAAGUUAUUUUUCUUUGGAAACUCUGUGCUUUCUAAACUGAAUUCUGUGUACCUUUAAAUUGGCAGAUAAUAGUAAUGCGUUUUAAAAUAUCUAUACUAUUAAAAGGGAAAAAGUCCUAAAAAAAUCUACUUAUAAAAAGUUGUUAAACCAUUUCAUUAAAACUAAUAAUAUUUUUGGUCUUGCCAUAAUAUUUGACUAACAAUAAAUCACUUAAAAUUUUUCUAACAAUAAUUUAUUACAUCAUACUUUUUUGUACAUGACAAAGUUAUACGACAUAUCAUAUCAUUUGCUACACAAAAAUGAUAUACGACAUAUAGAUCCAUACAUGUCUCAUUUCACUCAAUAUAAAUGAACUUUCAUCCAGUAUAAAAUCGUUAAUCCAGCAACUAUGUAACAUUAGACUACAUCAUUUCUAUACUUUUGUCCUAUAUUAUGAAAAAGCUCAUUCAUGUCUCAUGUUAAUAUUCAAUCUAUACUAUUAAAUUUGCCAAAAUCCACCAAGUAAAUCAUAAGUUUCACGAGUUCAACAAAUAUAACUCUUAUAAAAUGCACACAAAAUAUAAUAUGAAAGAGUAGGUUUGGGCAUCGGCUCUUCUGGUCGGGUAUAGAUUGGUUCCUUUCGGGUUUAGGUUUUCGGAUCAUAAACAUUUGGACAUAACUAGGUAUUUAAAAAAUAUCGGUUCGGAUUCGGAUCGAUUCCUUUGGAGUCCGGAUCCAUAAUUUAAAUACCUAUAACUUUUGGGUAUGUAACGGCUCCGAAUUGGUUUGAGAUUUUUAGAACUCGGAAAACACUUGAAGUACCCAAAAACCCAAAAAUACUAAAAACACAAAAAAAAUACACGAAAACACAAACAAAUACCAGAAAAAAAUAUUUGAAUUCCAAAAAAAAAAUUACAUAAAUCUGACCUAAGAAAUGGACGAUACCUAAAAACUUUUUCUAAUACCCAAAAUAUUUAUAAAAAAUUAAAAUUUUAUGUGAAACUCGAAACUAUAAUCGAAAACUUGGAUAUGAAACUUAAGAAACUAUUCAUAAUACUGAAAACAUAUUCGAAAUACCAAAUAUAAAUCUGAAAUACCCAAAUAUAGGCUAUAUAGCUAAUAUACACAAGCCAUAUACUUUGGAUACCCAAUUGGGUCUCGGGUAGGACCCAUAAUCAAACAGAGACCAUUGGUUGAAGAAAUAAUCAAAGAUGUACUUUGCCCUGAACCCGGACCCAAACCACAAUUAUAUUUAUGGGUCAGUUUUGGUUAGUUUUUUAGAUCCGAUAAAAUGUCCAAGCUUAAUAAAAAAUUUAUAUAAAAGUGUACAUACAAGAUCUUAUAUAAACUAAUUUAUAAAUUAUAUCAUUUAAAAUAAAUGCACGUCUUCUAUAUAAUGACUUUGUAACAUAAUAAUGUACACCAAUUUCAAAAUACUAAUUCAAAAACUUUGUUUACAAUCCAAAAAAACCCGUGCUUUCUAAGCGCAUGUCAAAAUCUAGUAUUUUAGUUAUUUUUACUAAACAUUUUUUGCUCUAUCAAGUUAUGCUUUAUCAGUGAUAGAAAGUACAUUUAUCAGAUACAAUAUUUUAUAAAAACUCUGGACAAUUUCUCUAUCAAAUUUAAUACCAUUUUUUUUAAAUGUACCUUUAAAAGAUGAUUUUCAUAAAUACUUUAAAUUUGUGAUAAGAAGAUUAAAUUAACUCUCAUAAAAAUCAUUCUUAAAUAUAAAAGAUUAAUUUAUAAAACAUCUAUAGAAGUUUAUAAACUCAACACCACACCCCUUAAAUACUAAUCCUAAACAAUAAUCAAUAAACCCUAAGCUUAAAUGUUACAGUAUUUUUAUUUGAGUGUAUUUUUGAAAAGUAGUAGCUAACUUAGGAUGUUUUUAAGCAAUUUCUCUUUUGAAAAUUAAUUUUCCUAAUUUUAGGAAAGUAUUUGUUGAAAAUUGUGAUUAGUUAAUAAAAUACUUUAUUAAAAUUCAAACCUAAAAUCCUAAUCUUCGCUAAAAGUUAUUUUAAAAACUAUUCUCAAGACUCAGUUUUUUUCUUUCAGUUCAGUUCAGUUUUUAUGUUUUUGGUUUGGUUUUUGCUCUCCGGUUUAAAUCUCAUAAUUAUACGAUGAUUGAUGAUGAUGCAUAUGUUCAGAGGUGCCUUGUGCCACGUCCAGACCUGGGCUUGAGCAGAUACCUAAGAAACAUUUGCAUGGGGCCUACAAAUUGUAUACAUUUUUUGGGUUUGCAUUUUCUGUUUUUAUUGCUAGCAUAUGAAAAGAAAAAUCAGUUCUAAGACGUGUUUUGAGCAUAUAACAUGAUAAAUGUUUAAUUUUGUUUCAUUCUCUUAUAUAAAAUGGAAUAGAAAGAUAAUUUUCAGAAUUGAUACUUUUAUAAAUUUUAAGGAUAUUGUAAUUUUUAAAUGUAAAUUAGAAUUUUAAUAAUUUAAAUUUUUAUAAAUUUAUUAGAUAGGGACUAUAUUUUUGGUUUCGUAUUGGACCCGAAAUAUCUCAGGACCGGCACUGGCCACGUCUUUCAGUUGAUAUCAUUGUUGUGGUGGCGAUUGAUCACGCUUUUCGCAAUCGGGAAUUCUUUCUGCUAUACUAACAUUCUUUGGUGUUAUUUGCAAAAUUUUCUAUGUAUUGGUUCGUUGCGCUAAGCACUCCCUUACAUUCGAUGGUAAAGUCAUCUCUCUCUCUCAUUGAUGAAUGAUCAAUGUAUAUAGUAUUUGAUUAAAUCACAACAGGCAAUAGCAGUGGUGACUAAGAACGUCGGCCACGUGUCGUUUUGGAUAUCUGUCGUUGCUGUCAUCAGCGGUAUGGCUUGGGGUGCUUACUCUUGCAUCUACAAAUUUGAUCUCUACCUCUUUGUAACAAUUUUUUUUAACCAUUGCUAUUUUUUUAAUUCAUAUCUUGAUUUUGAAUUGUUAACAACAUUUUGUUUUUUUUUGUUUGUAUAAGCAGUUGUCUUCAAAUACUGGUGUUUACUUCGAAGUUAUGCUUACUAUUACAAAUCUACUCCAAAGGUGAAAUCAGAGUGGAUUGAGCUUCUGAGUUAUGGUUUGUUCACAUUUCUUUUUUUAGGCCAGACAUAAACUUGAUUAGGUAUGCAGUUACUCUACAUAAUGUGUCAUGUCUAAAUCAUUCAAAUAUGUUCAAAGUCCUCCACAUUCUCUACUCCAACUCUCAAUAAACAUCAGAAAGCUCAGUAAUGUUUAAUUUUUGAACUACUUGUAAACUCAAUGGACACACAAGAGGAUGAAGAAAAUAGACUUAGAGACAUGUCAAGAUACGACUAUAUGACUUAGCCGAAACGACUUUCUUAAAAUCCAAUUUAUAUUAUUCAAGUCGGUUUAAAAUGUUUUAUAUCGGUUAAAACCGAAUCGAUGUAAAUUAGUUUAAAUUUGUUAAUUACUCAAUAAUGUUUAUAUAAAUCUUCAGAAUUGUCUAAUUUCUUUUGUUUUGUGUAUCUAAUUUUUAUAAUUCAUGAAAAUAAUUUUAUAAUUAAAUCCAAACUAAAAUAUUUUAUAAAGUGUAAAAUAUAUCUAAAAUAAAUCAAUAAUUCUUUAAUACCUAAAUUCUUUUAGGCCCCGAAUAAUCCAUAUAGUCGUUAGUCCUCUGUAAAACGAAUAGUUACUGCCUAACAAUUUUUUGAACAUUGGUGGGGAUCUAGUGAAGACACUUUUUCUUAGGGUCUGCAUGCUCCCUUGAUUAAAACUUUUAAGGUGUAUAAUAGUUUGCAAUUGAGUAUCUUUAUGGUCCAAGAGACUGUACGAUGUAAAAAACGCCACUAGUUGUAUUAAAGGGCCCAAUAUAGACCUAAUAUCUUCCGUUGCUCACCCAAUGAACCGUCCAGGUCGGGUCAAAAACUUGACGCAGAGUGAAAGAAGACCAUGCACCAUGACGCGAAACGCAGCCAAGUUUUCGAGAAAAUGGAUGAUGUACCAUUUUUUAAAGGUUUUUUAGCUUAAAGAAAAGGCCCAAAAUUUUUAAUUUGAUUGGGGCCUUUAAUUUUGAUGGCCCAUCCCUUGAUGUACCACACCGAAAUCAGCUAUAAAUGGUGGUUCAUCUACGACAAUAAUAGAUCAAGACGUAUAUUAGAUGUUUUCCAACUUUAGUUUAUCAAAAGGAGAAACAUGAUAGUGAUGAUAUGAUAACUGAUUAUCAUAAUAUGAAUAUCUUUGUGUUUUGUAUGAUUAUUUAUACUACUACACCAAGCAUCAUCAUAAUCAUCAAGUCUGCGUUUUGUUUCCCACAUGGCUAGCUAAGCUUAUAUUACAGUAUUUGUUGGGUUAAGAUAUUAUACAGGUUUUAAUACGGAUUAUUUUCCAAAUCUACUGGUAUUUGCUAUUUAACACAAAAUAUAUUUAGGAGUUAUCUUUUCCAUCAGCGUUGACUGCACAUCCGUAACUAACGUAAUUCGCUUCAUAAUUAUAAUUUAUAAGCAAAGUAACGGGUUUAGAUCUUUACUCACUUUUUAAAACGAUUAUCAUUUUUUCUUAUUAACCAUUAGGAAAAAUACGAGCUUAUUAUAUUUAAAGAUAUACGCUUGUACCAUUUUCCUAUCAAUUUUUAACAAUAAAUAACGAAUUGUCUCCACGUCUAUUAUUAUUAUUAUUAUUUUUUUUUUGUAAAAGGGCUGUCCACGUCUAUUUUUACAAUCAUUUUAAACUAAACACAACUAAUAAUUCUAUGAACCGAGAUAAUCACAAUUAAAGAAUUUUUGUCAUUAUGAAGCUAAUACUACCAUUCAUUUGCUAACUAAAAGAGGCAAUAAACAUUAAUUUACUUGAUGAUAACGAUAAGAAACAUUAUUUUACUUUCAAAAGCUUUCUAAUUCUGCAAGAUAUUUUCACCCCUUUCUCUUUUGCUUUCCUUUUUUAAAUCCAAAUUAUUGGCCGCUUAUGGGAACGUGAAAUACAGGAUCAAUUAUAAUCUUGAUUAGCUGUCUUGAUCAAUGCAUCAAAGCCGGCCAAUUUUUUUAAAAAAAGAGAUACACAUCUCUAAUUUUAGUUCCAAAAUAAAAAGAAAAAAAUUAUUUAAUAAAUUUCAAUAUUCCCUAUCUUAAAUCAAUAGUUUCCUCUCUCUAUAUAAACAAAUCUCGCAAAUUACUCAACAAACAGCAACAAAUAUUUUCUCAUUCACUCAAAGUUCAAACCAAAGCAAAACACAACUCUUUUUACGAAGAAGAUGAUGAUGAAGAAGAUGUUUGUUCAGAUCGCAGUGUUUUGUCUAUUGGCUACGAUCGCAGCCGUCUCCGGCCACGAAGGUCACGUUCACAGCCCGGCUCCGGCACCGGGACCGGCAACUAACUCAGCUGUCGUUCCAACCACCAACAUGUUCACCGGAUUGGCUUUUGCUGCCGUAGCGCUUGUUCUUGGUCUCAACCACUGAGUUCAUCAUCACUACUGCAUUCAGCUUUUCUUGUUUGGUUCAGUUUCUAUGAGAUUAUUCUCUUGACUUUCAAUAUUCUUUUUGUUCUAUCAAAGUUUCAUUUUGUUGUUUACCUUAUUUGGUGAAUAAAACAAAACUCCAUUGGACUCCUGUUGUUUUUUACUAUGAUUUUGGAUUUAAAAUCCGAUUCAUAGGAAACACCACACAAAUUAAAUCUCAAUCUAAAAAUUACGAUAUGGUUCACUAUAACUAGAUUCCACAUGAUGUAAACCUACGCAUAACUUUUGCAGAACGAUCUAAUGUAUAUAUAACCAGCUUUUUCUUAGUGUGUUGCUGUAUUUAGAUAAUUAGAAUCCACUUAAAAAACUUACGUGAGACCAAUGAGGAUAAUGAACGUACUUAAUAAGUAACAAGUUGGGUAUCUUAUAAUAGAGACGAGUCCAUAAGUAAAGGUGGGGUUAAGAGAAACCCGUUCCCGUAUCGUAAUCGUUAAAGGUAUGUAAGUAGAUAAAUGUCGACCUUAACAGAACAGACGUACGUAGGUUAGCACACAAAUUUAGAGAGAGAUGAUGGUUAAUUUAAAUUAUACUCAAAUGUAUUAGUAAUUAGAUCAUGUAGUAAAUAAAUAUAGUUUUAUUAGUCAUAGAGCAACUAGAUCCGUUGUAGCACACCGGUUAAUUUCAAUCUAAAUUGCUUGAAAUCCGGGUUCAACUCCCGGGAGCGGAAUUUUUUUUUUUAAAAUAGUUCAUCAAAUCAAUUUUAGGAAACAAAAAUAAAAGAAUAACACAGAUCAAACUCUUCUUAACUAUUUCCCUUUACAUCUAAAAUUAAUAUAACAAAGAAUCAAUCUGUAUUUUUCAGGGAAACCAAACACGAGAGAGCGACCUGAGCUAGAGGUUUCCUACACACGCAAAGUCAGAUCAUCAUCAUUCAUUCAUCAAGAUGAGAUCACAUUACCAACAAACCCAAGAUAAAUUAAGAAACACCUUUGUUAACUGGUAACAGAAACCACCUGUAUUGAGACCAAUCGUGGAAGAAACAGAAGUGUCAUCUUCUUUGUCUGACUCAGGGCCUCUUCAUCCUAAAGCUCCAUUAAAGCAGCUUCGGUUUCUGACAAAGGAGCUGCAAAAGAAAAGCAAUUAGAUCCUAGACGCAUAAGAUUACAGAAAAUAUACAGAACCGUUCUAUUGAUGACAGUAUUAAUGCGUUAGUAUUAUUAGAGUACACUUCAGCACAAUGUGAGGUCAUGUAAACACCAAAGAGGAUAUAAUGAACGUACCUAACAAGUCUUCGUAGGUAUCUGAUAACAGGGACGAGUCCAUUAGUAAUGGUGGAGAGAACACUUGGUCUUCGACGUCGUAAAACGAUUGUUGUGCAUCAGAAGCUACACUGUUUGAUCCAGCUACUGAGAGAAACCCGUUCCCAUUAUCGUAAUCUUUGAACGAAUCCAGAUCAUCGAACGUGUCAGGUAUAUCGCUGUACUUGCUUGGCGCUAGCCUAUGGGGAACAUUGGAUUCAAGAAAGGAAGGCUCGCUCAGAGAGGUAAGUAACCUCGACCCUCUGUGAGGUAGGCCUUUGGUUUCUGAUGUAAAUCGGGAAAAGCCUGUUCCUGAAAGAGGUACAAAAUAAUGCUCGGAGCCUUCAUCGGAUUGACUGUCCCGUGAUGAUCCUGCUUUUUUUAAAUGUACCUUUAAAAGAUGAUUNNNNNNNNNNNNNNNNNNNNNNNNNNNNNNNNNNNNNNNNNNNNNNNNNNNNNNNNNNNNNNNNNNNNNNNNNNNNNNNNNNNNNNNNNNNNNUCGGAAGAGAAUAAAAGUUGACUGAUUAAACUGUUACCGUAAUUCUCCCAAUCCCCUGAGAUUGUAGAAGUGAAGCUGCUUGCCCGUUACUUCUCGUAGCUGGAGGUAAGGUUGGGGGAAGAUUAUUAACCUUCUCAGUACAUUCUAAUAUGGAUUUCUGUAUGGCUGGAGAAACUUCCUUUAAUUGGUUGAUGAGUACCUGCAUAUAGUGUGGCAUCAGCUGUAAGAACGUAGUAGAGAUUUAACCAGUAAAGUAUGAGCUACAUUCAUAACACAUAUUUUGUAGGCAUGCUCCAAGAGAUCCUAAAAACAGUAUGGUAAUAAAAAUGUAGUUACUCAAUCGAUCAACUUUUUAUACUCUCUCAAGAGAAGCUGAAUCAGAAUACACACAAUUAUUCAUGGAACUCCGGAAAUCUCCAAUCAAACAACAUACUGCCUUUUAUAAAUAAAAUAGAACUGCCCGGAAAGUAGACUUCUAGUUUUUUUUUUGUUGCUGAAUCGGAUUAUAAGCUCUGUUUCCUCAACAAAAGCAUUUUACUUUCUACGUUUUGCAUUUGACUUCCACAGUUGGCCAAAUGCAACUUCUACCUAAGGCAACAAACAAGCAACACAUUUACCUGAAAGCUAGCUAAAUGUUGUUGAUGUUCAGUCAAAGUUGCAGCCAAUGAUUCAACAUGCCCACUUGUACCACCAUCAUUUGCAGUCCGCAAAAUAUCUGGACCUUCCCCGUCAUUUGCUUUAGCCUAACAUGCAAAAGUAAAAGAUAAGCAACAUAUCCAUGGAACUAAAACCUCACAGAGAAAAAGAGUGGAGCAUUAAUCAAUGACAUAAAGCGUACAAUUAGCCAGAAUUGUUUGAAGUACUUAAAUAUCCCCCACAGAGAUAAGAGAAGACAUACCAGCUGAAGAGACUGUUUAUGAAUACGCUGCAAUGCGUGUGUCCAGCGCCUUAUGAUUUCCGCUACAUCAACUGUCUGGUUGAUUCUUCCACCUCUUUCAUCUACUCGAGAAAGUGUUUCAUCACUUGCUUGUGAGUUGGUUUCGAAACUGUCUCCAAGAGAAUGCUGAUCAUGCAUGUUUGCGUACGACCCAUCACUUAGUUCUUUGUCAUCUGCAAGUGGCAGAGCUGAAUCAUCUGAAUGGGCAGAGAGCAAUUCUGCACGAGGAACUUGAGAACUCUGGUCCAUCGCUGCAAGUAGGGCUGAUCCUGAAAUUCGGUAUCUACAGAUCAAAGGUAACCAGAAGUCAGUAUAUUAGGAAGGAGAAUUCAAAACCGUAUGUGUUAUAAGAGGCCGGUUACCUAUGCUCUCUGUGAGCUAUCAAAUCCUCAAUGGGACCUGACGCAAGAACUUCAUGCUGACCUGAAGAUAGUAAAAAAAAAAAAUCAAACUAUGAAAGUCUCCAGCAUAAUUCUAAUUUCCAAACACUAGUUAUCUGAAUUUAACACAAAGAAUGAAAAGAACAUCAUAAAACCUUACCUUUGCGAGCCAUUAUAGAAUCCCAUAACCGAGUGGACUUUGAAACUAGAUGAGAAUUUUGGCUGGAGCUAGACACAAGAUCAUCCCACACCUCUCCUUCCUGCUUAACUUUGUUUCUUAAAUCGUUAAGUUUUUCUAGUUCCUGUUGCAGGUAAGCCUGAUGCCAACGAAACAAAAAAAAAAUGAAAUGCAUCAAGAAGAGCCUGAUAUAAUCAGAAAAAAAAAACAAAUCAGUACCAACCACCAAAGAAGAACAUACCUCUUCGGCACAGAGACCACGGAACUCUGCAGUCAUCUCAUGGGCUAAAUUAGACCACAUGGCCUGUCUUUGUACCGCAGUUUCCGCGUCUUUAAGGAAUCUACGACGCUCAAGCACUAUCCGUGCCUGUAAACAUAAAAACGAGCAUUUGAAGGUUAUUCCGUUCAUUACUACUCAAACGCGUCCACAUAGAACACACAAUCUUGUAGAGAAACUAUAUGAAUACUACUACCUUGGUAACAGGAAGCAAAGUAGCUGCAUGUGAGAAGGAUACGUCAGUUAGAGAAGAAGGCAGAGGAUUGGAAGCCACGUCAGCAGGUAAAGUCCGUCUAUGAACUUCUCUUAACGCAUGCAGUGAAAGCUGCCAUAAGAGCUCCACAAACCUGCAAUCAAAAACAGGAGGUUCCACAGUUACACAUCUAUUGCUGCUAAAAUUAGCUUCAACCACAUCAGAAGCAACCUUGGUCCACAGCAAGUGGCAAGUGAUGAAACUCUCGAGUUACUCCUUGGUAACGCCCCUUGUGACUCAAGCUCGCUUAUAAUCCCUUGAACAACCUUCAUUGCCAUCAUUCUAGCGUUAAGAAACUAUGGAUUCAGUAAGCAAAUUCUCAAUGAUUUACCUUUCGAAAAUCGCGAGAUUGAGCCGAAUCGAAAAUUGGCCAGACCUUAUCGAAAUCCUGAGAGAUCAACGAAACUCAAAAUCAAACGAGUGAUUUCAAAACCGGUUUCGAGAGAGGAAUCGAACCUUUGAAGACUGAGCGGGUCCUCGGAGAGAAGAGAGGAUGAAGUAGAGAAGCUGUUCUCCCAGCUUCGGGUUGGAAUGGCGGAAUAACCCCACCCGAGGCGUGCCGUUGGAGGAUCCGAGCCCGAUCACGUUCGGAUCCAAACCUAAGAGUAAGCAGUUGGUGUACAUUGCGCUCUCGAGCUCUAGUUCCCUCUCCUUCUCUCUGUCCAUCGUCAUCACCGAUCUUCCUCUCUCUCUCUCUCUCUCUUCUCUCUCUCUCUCUCUCUCUCUCUCUCUGCCCUUUUUCGAUUUAUUGAAUCUCGAUCGAAAUGUGUUUUUUCCGGCGACGUUUUUAAAUUUAAGUCCCUGAACAUAACUAAUUUAAGGAAACUGUCCCUACAUUUUUCUAACUAUCUGAAUAGUGGUGAAUUAGCGAGAAUGACAGUAACUUUUUUAACUCAAAGUAUAUUUUAUUUUUUCAAAUUUACUUUUAAAUAAUAAUUGUUUUCAUUAAUAUAAAAUUAACUUCUUAAAUCAUUUAUAAAUGUUAAAAAAUUAUUUAUAGAAGUUUGUAAACUUAAUCUUAUUCCCAAAUAUAUUAUUUUUAAAUAAUAAUCAUUAAAUAUUAAAUCUAAAUGUUAUGGUAUUUUUGAAAGUUGGUAUCCAAUUUAGGGUAUUUCAAAAAAAAUCUUUUGAAUAUUUUGUUUCUUGAAAUAAUAGUGCUCAACUGCUCAUACAAAAUAUUCAAUACAAAAACCAAAUUAUAUACUAACAUAGUUUAAAGGGCAAUUCUCAUAAAUAGACUAUUUUCAAGUUUUUGUCACAAAAAUAGAUCACAAGGAAGAAAAUGACCAAAAUAUUUCAUUUAAUAGGUAAAAGAACACUAAUACCCUAGAUAUAUAAAAAAAUUAAAAAAAUGUUUCAAGUUUUUAGAUUAUAUGUUUUCAAAUUCGAACUUUUUUAUAAAUUUUCUUUUAAUUUUUUUUCAAAUUUUUUUUUCAAACUUUUUUUUUCAAAUUUUGUUUUUGUAAUUCGAAAAUACUUUUUGAAACUAUUUUUAAAAAUUUUAUUUUCAAAUUUUUAAUAUUUAUUUUCUAUUUUAUAAAAUUUUAAACCUCAAACUCAAAUCCCUACCCUUUAACUCUAAACCCUAAGGUUUGGAUUAGUUAAUCCUAUGGGUGUAAGUGUAUAUUUACCUCUUUAAUGAAACAUUUUGGUCAUUUUGAUUCUUAGAAUCUAUGCGGAUGAUUGGUAGUUGUUGUAGGUGUUGUCAACAUCCCUAUUUAUUUCUACAGCACCAAAUUCAGAGCAAUCAAACUUUAAAUUUUUUUUUGAAAACAUAGCUCUUUAAAUAAUCUACAGCUGUAUAAAUGCUCUGCAGAGCCAAAUAUCCAAAGUAAUUUUUUAAUCAUUUCAAUAAAAUUCUACAGCAAUAAAAUCUAAAGCCACAUCAAAAAGUUUACAAAUUUUUUUCUAGAGUAAAAAUUUUAAAGCUACAGCCAUUACCAAUCGGACCCUAUAUUUGUGAUAGAAACUUUUUUAUUGCUAUCUUAGGGUAUUAACCUAGUUUAAAAGAUUUCAUUAACCAAAUUUAAAUUUGAAUCAAAUUUCAAUAAUUUUAAAAUAAAAUAAAAAUCAUAUGCGACUAAAAUUAGAAUUUAAAUUGAAACCAAAAGCAAACUAAAUCAAAUUAUGCAUGAUAUAUCAUGUUUUACUUUGGAUAUUAUCAUCCUUAUAUCAAAACAAAUCAAUUGAAAAAUUUAAAACCAAACCAAAAUUCGAAUUUAAUAUUGCUAAAGUUAUUGUAGCAUGGUUAGUAGACAUAUUUUAACAUAAUAGUAUAAAUUUGAAACGAUAGAAAUAUGGUUUAAAAAAAAAUUUCCCAAAACAUAUAAAAGAUGUGAAUCCAACAUGGUUGUUAAUAAAAUAAAAAAGAACCAUGGGGUAACAUUAUAACAAAAUAAAAUUGGGGGAUAUAAUUUGAGUUUAAGAAACUAGAGUGCUCUUUUUCUAAAAUGUUUUUGACUUUAUCCCAACGACACGUCAAUUAAUCAUAGGCAUUUUCCAAAUGUAGAAGCGAGGCUAAUGCUAAUGUGCACCUACGGCAUUAGCAACAAAUCACAUAUAAAUACUGUCUUAUUGUUCUGCCGUAUUUGUCACUUUUCUUUAACAUAAAAUCUCCAACGGUUGGAAUGGAUAAUAACAGAAAGUAUUACUACAUGUUAGGGUCUGACUGGUUCAAACGCAGCGGUUGCGGUUGCGGUUGCGGUUGCGGAAGUUUGCGGAUGCGGGUGGUUGCGGUUUCUAGCGUUAUUAAGCGUUUUGUAUGACUGGCACAACAUUUGAAAAUUGUUGUGUUUGCGGAUCAUUUCUGACUGGUUUACCCACCCACCCACAUAUACAAAAAAAAUUAAUAAAGAAUAUUUAAUAGACAAAAAAAUAAUUAUAAAAAAUUAAGAUUAAAUGUGACGAGAUGUAUCUUUCAUACUUUGUUGUGACGGCAUUACAGGAUCUGUCUCGAUAACAUUUGGAGUAUCUUUCAUUGGAGUUUCUAACCAGGCUGUGUCAUCUUGUUCCAUAAGAUCAAGAUCAUGUGAAUCUUGAAUCUGAACUUCUUCUUCAUCACUUAACUCAACUCGUGGAGUACGAUGAUAUACACCACGUCUUGGUUGCCAUGACUCCUCAACCACGACAGUUUCAUCUCGAAAUACCACGUCAAGAAGCGGUAUAAAACGCAACGGAUGUGAGCGAAAUUUCGAAGCUUCAGGGUAAGCCUUAGAAAUAAAAACAAAUAAUCACUAAAAAGAAAUAUAUAAAACCAGAAAAUUAACGUAACGUGAAAACAUGGCUUUAUGUGUACCUUGAUUUUGUCUUUCCACCAAUGCUCAGGUGCAUCAAUACUACCUGUUCUACUAUUAAAUCCAAGACCAGUUGACCCAAAAGUAAUUCUACGAUAGAUUUCAUAUUGCUUUUUCAAAGUAUCAAGUCUGUUUUUCACUUUGUUCCAAGUGAUCGCAACUGGAAACUGUUUUUUAAAUUCUUUGAGAACAUUUUGCUUUCCCUGCUCACUCAAGUUUUUGCCUUUAGAAUUUCCAUCUUGUUUUUCCAGCGUUAUCAGUUCUAACAAGAAACGAGUCAUCUCAUCUGACCAUUGUAGUUUCUAUUCAAAGACCAGGUGAACAUAUAUCCAAUUACGAAACAUACAAAUAUAUAUAUGAAUGAUAUACUGGUCAUUCAGAGAAUUUAAACAACAAAACAUAUAAGAAAUCAUAAAACAAUAAACUGGAAUAAAAUCAUAAUCCACUUACGUUGUUCUCUUGACUUCCUUCUUGGUUGGAAGCCAUGAUUUCAAUGGAUUGAAACUGUAUUAGGUUAACGUGAAUGAGAUAUUAUCAAAUAUACACAUAUAUAACGUUAAUUAAAAAUGGAUUAGUUAGGAUAUAUAAGUAGAGCUUUCGGCGAGAUGUAUCUUUCAUACUUUGUUGUGACGGCAUUACAGGAUCUGUCUCGAUAACAUUUGGAGUAUCUUUCAUUGGAGUUUCUAACCAGGCUGUGUCAUCUUGUUCCAUAUGAUCAAGAUCAUGUGAAUCUUGAAUCUGAACUUCUUCUUCAUCACUUAACUCAACUCGUGGAAUACGAUGAUAUACACCACGUCUUGGUUGCCAUGACUCCUCAACCACGACAGUUUCAUCUCGAAAUACCACGUCAAGAAGCGGUAUAAAACGCAAUGGAUGUGAGCGAAAUUUCGAAGCUUCAGGGUAAGCCUUAGAAAUCAAAACAAAUAAUCACUAAAAAGAAAUAUAUAAAACAAGAAAAUUAACGCAACGUGAAAACAUGGCUUUAUGUGUACCUUGAUUUUGUCUUUCCAAAAAUUUUAAAAUUCAUGAGCAAGAAUUUUUUUUUUAAAACAAAACAGAAAAAAAAACUAAUUCUCAAACAAAAAAUUAAAAAAAACUGUAAAUGUGGGAAGAGAAAAGAUUUAUUUUAUGUAAGUUUCACUAAAUUCUGUUGUUCGAUUUUAUUAUUUAUACAUAUAAACAUUUUUUUAAUGUUUCAAAAAAAAACAAAUUUUUUUUUAAAUGGGGGCCUUUUAAUAAUGGGGCCCCAGGCCCAUGUUUCAAAUGGCUCUCCUCAGGGACGCCCCUGACCAUACUACAUGUUAUAGAUAUUAGAUGCAUGUGUAAUAAUAAUACCAAUGGCAAUACGAUAAUAUUUCUUUAUUGGUACAACAGAACCUGGUGGAUUCAACGUAUUAUUAAUAUACUUUCUCUGCAUUAUCCUUUGAAUUUGAACCAAAGCAACACACUUGUACGAAGUUGCUUGAAUUUUCAUUGUCGUGAAUCUUAUUUUUUUUAAAUGUGAUAAUUAUGGCGCAUAGGAAAUUAUGCUUUUUUUUUAUAACCACACGGGAAAUUAUGCUUAUUUGUAUAUUUUUGGGUCUUUAGAAUUUAAAAAAAAAAGAGUAUAGAGAAUGUUUUUGCUUGUUCAUCGUUUGUGCCAUAAGGCUAAAUAUAUACCCAUGUAUCUUUAAGCGAUAUGUACCAAUCAAUAAAUAAAAAAUUGUAAAUCUUCUUAAACAUGUAUACACCAAGUAUUCAUACUUGAUAUGUAACUUGCCUGCAUGGCUGCAAGCAUAUCACAAUACCUUCUCUCAAGUUAAAGCGUGAAGAUUAAAAGAACGCCCAAAUUGGAAAAAAAAAAAUCAAACUCUCGAUGUAGGAGGAACAUGUAUCAGUCCAGUCAGCGGUUCCUAUAAAAGAUGAAGAGGUGGUUGUUCUUGGACAAUAUGAAGGGAUAUAUAUAGGGAUAACCCUACUUUUUCAGACAACUCAAAUAGCUCAACGUUUGUCAUAACAAUUCUUGGCAUACACAACCAAAGAUGGGAAGGUGCCUCUAACAAUUCAACUCGGAAAAAAAAAACAUAUGAUCAUAGAUAGCAUCAAUCUUUAGUGAAACCAAAACCAACAUGUUUGUUUGUACAUUCUAUUUUUUUUUUCAAUCAUAUUUUUGUCAUAAACACGGCUGGUCAUCAUCUUUUCAUUGAAUGGAUAUUACAUCGAUUAUCAAUCAUACGAGUUAGGGCUGGGCAAAUAAACCGAACCCGAAAACCUGAACCGAACCCGAUCCGAUAAAAAUGAAUCCGAACCGAUCCGAACCCGACAUAAAAACCGAAUGGAUCUUGUUUUAUGGUAUUUCGGCUUAUGUGUAUUAUCCGAGCCGAACCCGAACCUAAAUGGAUACCCGAUAGAAUCCGAAACAUUCAAAAUUUUUUAAAAAAACUUAUACCAAACAUGAUCUCAAUUCCUAAUAUGUAUUCAAAAUAUAUUGAAUAUCUAAAAUAAUUAUCUAUGAAGAUUGAUGGUUGAAUGUGGCAAUUGAAGGUUGAAGUUUUUAGAUUUGAGUUUUAUUUUUCAUUGAAUAAUGUUUUUCAUUUCAUGAGAACUUGAUUUUCGUUUCAUGCUUUCAUUUAUUUGGUUUUCUUUCGAUCAUUAACUAUGUUUACCUUUCACUUGAUUUUGUAUGAUUACAUUUGAUGUUCCUUUCUUUUUUUUUGAACCGAAUUUAUUUAUGUUUUGGUUACAAAAUAGGUAGAAAUCAAGUAUUUUAAAACCGAAGAACCGAUUUUAGUUACUUUUUCGUUACAAAGUAGAUAUAAAUCAAGUACAUUUAAACCGAAGAACCGAUUGAGACCCGAACACGAAAGUACAUCGGGUUGUACCGGUUCUUUGAAGAUUUACUAAACCCGACCAGAACCCGAUAGAACCCGAACCGGUCCCGAACCAAAUUUUCAUAUAACCCGAAUGAAACUGAUUUUGAUAAACCCAAAAAACCGAAACCCGAUUGGACUAAACCGAAACCCGAUUGGGACCCCGGAUGCCCAUGCCUAAUACGAGUGCAUAUUAAUCAGCAAUGAAAGAUGAUGUUCGUUUCACAAGGUCUUAUAAUAAAACACGUCGCUUCACUCCACCGCGUAUCCUCAAAACUAACUCUUACAUCAACUACGUAAUUGUGAACUGAGACUGUCUUGUGUUUAUUUAUUGAAAAUAAGAUAGAUCUCAAAUGAGGUAAAUGUUAUAUAAUUCAAAGAGCAUUUUGGCCAAGUAAAAAGUUUCUUCUUUUUCUUCACAGUUCAAAGAGCAUUUCACCAUUUCAUUAAAUCCAGAUUCACAACUUGAUCAUUAAAAUAUCGUAGAGGUUCCCCAUAACCUGCAAAAGAAAAAAAGCCACAAGACGAAAGUAUUCAGACAAAUCUCACAGCAACAAGUUCCUCCAAGAAAAUAACUACAUAAUUCUAGUUUGGCUUUUUUCCACAUACCAUUUAGUUCAUCAACGGUUCAGAGAAAAGAGCAUGCUCUGGCCACCGGGCAAGUAAGCCACAUUAGGAGAUCUCGCAAGUGUAGCUGCAACCUCCCUCGAAGCUUCAAUCCUCCUAAGCUCGAUAAGUCCCAUACCAGCUUUAGCCGUAGCGUCAGAGAUCAACUGUGCAGCUUCACUCUCACCUUCAGCUCUUAUAACCGCAGCCCUCCUCUCUUGAUCAGCCUUCAUCACCACAAACUUAGACCUCUCGGCCUCCUGCUGGGCCACCUGUUUCUGCUCAACAGCCUUUGAGAACUCAUACCCGUAAGACAAGUGCGUGAUUGCAACAUCGUCGAGCACAAUGUUGAAGUCUUUGGCACGUUUGAUUAGCGAUUCACGAACAAGCGCUGAGACGUGAGGACGCUCAGUGAGGAGCUGGUCAGCGUUGAACUGUGCAACCACGGCUUUUAAAACCUCGUUUCCAAUUGAUGGAAGAACCUUCUCAUCAUACUCAAGACCCAACGUUUGGAAUAUGUAUGGGAGACGCAUAACCUUGAGGCAUGAUGAACAUCACAUAAAAGCAUAAACAAUUCAAAUACUAUAUAAUGGGAUUAAAAGCAGCAUAAAGAUUCUACAUUGGGCAAAUCUCCAAAAUAGCACAUUUCUAAGUUUAUGUCACAAAAUAGCCCUCAAAAACUAAAAUGACCAAAAUAGCAUUUUAUCUUUUGAAAAAUUUAAAUUUUUUUUUAUUUUUCAAAAUUUGAAAUCUUAUCCCACUCCCCAACUCUAAACCCUAAAACCUAAACUCUAAACUCUAAACUCUAAACUCUAAACUCUAAACUCUAAACUCUAAACUCUAAACUCCAAACUCCUAAACUCCUAAACUCCUAAACUCCUAAACUCCUAAACUCCUAAAUCCUAAAUCUCAAACUCCACCCCUUAACUCUAAACACUAAUGUCUAAAUUAAUUUACCACUGGGAUAUAAGUGCAUAUUUAUCUCUUUUGAUAAAACAUUAAGUGCUAUUUUGGUUAUUUUUAUUCUUAGAGGCUAUAUUUGUGACAAAAACUUUUUUUAGUGCUAUCCUAAUCAUUUUCUGAACUACAUUUCCAUAAACCCUAACCCCUAAAUCCAAUUCCUUAAUAGUCAAAACCCUAACCCCUAAAUCCAAUUUUUUUUUCCCCUAAAUCCAAUUCCUGAGAUUCGAACUAUGAUAACAUCAGCACAACCUCAAUCUUCGUGGCGAUCAAGCUAAGUCUAGUUCGAAAUUUAUACCUCAGGGCGAGAGAGAACACGAAGGGUGAGAUUGACCAUCUGAAGAUCCUUCGUGCCGGAGAUCGAAGAGAACGUGUGGGGCUUCGUGCGGAUGUCGAAGAUGUGAGGCUUCUGCAGAAUCGGGAUCAGGAAAUGAGUCCCUUCGCCGACGGUCUGGUCCAUCACUCCUCUGAAUCGAUCGAAGAUCACAGCUCUCUCUCCGCCGUCAACGGUGUAUAGCGACGUGUUCAGCACCGUCGCCGCCGUUCCAAGACCGAAAGCCGCCUUCGCUAGAUUGGAGAGGAACGAAACCGCUGCUUGUUGGCUUCCCAUUUCUCGAUUCGGAGUAGGGUGAGGCGUGGAGAACGAAGUGAGGAAGAAAUUGAGACGACGACGAGAGGAGGAGGAGAGUUUUGUUAGGGUUUAUGGAAGCUACUAUGGAAAAUGCUUUAAUGGGCCAAGUUUAUUACCCAAUAACUUGGGGUUACGCCCAUUAAUAGCCCGUCAGAAUUAUCAAAAAUAUAAGAAGAUAGAUUGGCCCACAGGAGAGAAAACAUUUACAAGAUUGCAACAUUUAUUAUACCAGGGGCAUAGCCCUUGCGCAAGCGCAGAGCCGGAUACGUUGUUGAUGCAUUGCAUAGUUAUGUCUACGGGAUUCUGUCGUUUGUUUUUUAUUCUGAAUUUUUGUUUUUGUGUGUUGUCUGUAAGGGUGUUAAAAUGGAUCAUGACCCAUGGGUUAACCCAACCCAAGUUGACCCAUUAAUCCAAAUGAACUUUUUAUUUUUGAUCCAAUAGGUUAAUGGGAUAACAGGUUAAUGAGUUAAUAAGUUAAUGGGUUAACAAGUUAAUGAAUUAGCAAGUUAAUGGAUUUAUUGGAUUGAGUCAACUCUGACCCAUUUUGUUUUCAAUUAAGAAAACCAUGAGUAAACCACCCAAUUCUAAGGUUUGAUAGAAUUGGAAAAUCAUGAGUUUCUCAAAAGUUCAAUUAUUUAUUCGGUGGUAAAAUGCGUUUCCCGCUAAAACCGCAAAAAUAAGUUUUUCCGCUAAAACCGCGAAAAUACGAUUUUCCGACAAAACCGCAAAAACGCGUUUUUCCGCCAAAACCGAAAAAAUGUGUUUUCCCGCCAAAACCGCAAAACGCGUUUUUCCGCCAAAACCACAAAACGCGUUUUCCCGCCAAAACUACAAAAACUAGUUUUCCCGCAAAACCACGUUUCCCGCAAAAACACAUUUUUCCGCCAAAACCACCAAACGCAAUUCCCCGCCAAAACUGAAAACCCAGUUUUCCCGCAAAAACGUGUUUUCCCGCCAAAACCGCAAACCGCGUUUGCGCCAAAACCGCAAAAAAUGUAUUUUCCGCCAAAACCGCAAAACCGCAAUUUUCCGCCAAAAACUGUAAAAAUCAGUUUUUCCGCAAAAACGCGUUUUCUCACCAAAACUACAAAAAUGUGUUUUCCUGCCAAAACCGCAAAACGCAAUUUCCCGCAAAAAACGCGUUUUCCCACCAAACCCCAAAAACGUGUUUUCCUGCCAAAACCGCAAAACCACAUUUUCCUCUAAAACCACAAAACGCGCUUUCCCGCCAAAACUGCAAAAAAACUUGUUUUCCUACAAAAUCGUAGUUUCCUCACUAAAUCGCAAAAACUUGUUUUCCACAAAAACCACAAAACGUAUUUUCCCGCCGAAACUGCAAAAACUCAUUUUUCCGCAAAAAUGCGUUUUUUCGACAAAACCACAAAAAAUGUUUUCUCAUUUCGAUCAACUUGGUCUUAACUUAAAAAUAAUUCAUUAUAAAGAUGUUGGGUUGAUGGGUCAACCAUUAAUCCAUCUAACCUAUUUAAUUUAAUGGGUCAUGGGUCAAUCCAACUCAUUUAUUAAAUGGAUUGGGUUGACCCAUGACUCAUUAACAAUAAACCCAUUUGGGUUAUGGGUUGGGUUGACCCAUUUGACCCAUUUUGACACCCUAGUUGUCUGUAAUGGUGAUGAAAUGAACAUUGGAAGGCACGUAGUUUGAUUAGGUUGAAAUGUGUUGAUAUUUUCAUAUCUUAAAGUAUUAGCGCUUUCAUGUUCAAAAACUGAAGUUUAUGGAGUUGGUUAGUGUUUAGUUAGGUAGUUGUUAGUAUAUAAAUUAAAAAAUGUGUAAGGAAAAAGAUAUAAAAUUUUUUUCUUAAAAAUUAACAAUUAUCCGAACAAUAAAUUAAAAUAUUUUAUAUUUUCCCUAAAUGAAUUUCAGAAAUAUAGAAUUGUAAUAAAAUGUAUUUUUAAAAAUUAAUAACUAUAGAAAUUUAUAAAAUUAUAUAGUUACAAAAUCAUUUAUUUUUUGAAUUUUUACUGGAGUUUGUUAAAAAUAAUUUGUGGCGGACAAAAAAAGUUUGAAAUAGGUGGACCAAAUAAAUAAAUUUUGUUAUAGUUUAUAGCCCAAUAUAGUAAUUAAGUAAAACCGGGGUUUUAAAACAUUUUCUUUCAAAAGAACUCGGCCUUGAAUCUGUAGUUUUGUCUGCUUCUGAGAAAACUCAUGUUUUUCCGUUUCUGGAAAGUCGACACAAUUUUCUUCCUGUCAGUACUUUGCGUUUUUAGUUUGUGAGAUUGAAAAUGAUAAUUGUUUUACAGCCUGAUUGAUUAGAGAUUUGCUUACAUCAGCUCCGUCUUCCUCCGGUGUAGUCAUUGAUCUUCGGAGGUUUCGUUGGCGUCGAAAGUUAGACCUGCAAGAGAGAGGGUUUGAAUAUGUUAAUUUGCUUGUUUGUUUUGUUAUUCGUUUGGGUUGGUUAUAUGUGAACUGAAACCAUGGCUUCUGAUUUAUGAUUUGAUGUUUUAUUUGUUAACAUAUCGAUUGAUUGUGACAGGCCAUUGUAGGCCUUUCUGUACACGAUGUUGGCUAUCGUCCUACACCCAUCCUCAUUUCUUCUCAUGUUUAAAAUCUUGAGGUCCUUGGUUUUAGUGACUCUUGACAGUGCCACAUAUAGGUGACCAUGGCUGAAGACUGGUUUAGGCAAGUAUAGAGCAAUGUUUGACAAAGUCUGUCCUUGGAUUUUAUUUACUGUCAUUGCAUAACAAACCCGGAUUGGAAACUGGCGUCGUUUCAAGGUGAAUGGAUGGUUGGAUUCUGGUGGUGACAAUAUGAUCCAUGGUAGCAGGAUAUGAUCCGUCUUGGUUGUUGUUGUAAGGAUUUCGGUUUUAAUAACCUGACCAGAGAUAGCUACGCGCAAGAUUUAGUAUAGUUCAACAAAAAACAAUUGAUAUUUGUUUGUUCUUGUUUUGUUUGUAACAGUGUUUUGAAUGAUUAGUGGGGCUUAUGGUCUGUUUCUUUUUAAGUGGCUCUUUGGAUCGCAUUAGUUUAAUGUUUCAGUCUUUUGUUUGCAGUUGCUUCCUGUUGAAGAAGUUUUUCCUACUUACCUUAUGAUAAGAUUGGGCCUAUUUUAAGUAAAUUGGAGUUAAUAUAUACGUGGAGUUCUGUUUGUGGACUUACUUAUUUGGAUUCGUUGGGACAUUAGAUCUAGUGUCCCAGCGUUAGUUCACGUGUGGCAGUACUAUGAAAUGUGAAGUUUGGUGGUUACAUUCUACGAACUGAUGUUUGAUGCUUCAUGUAUUCAGUAUCCAAACAGGCUUUUUGUUGUAACACUUUUUUUUGUAACACUGGUAUACAAUCAGGUUAGUCCUCCAUUUUAACAGCCUCAUUAUUGUAGUUUCUCAUUUGUGUGAUAAAUGAGGAGAUAUCAGCUUGGUUAUGGCUAACUUCUUUAAAAUCGUGAUUAUUGCUUUUUGAUAUUUUAACGCCUCAUCAGAAGUUUUUAUUGUUGUACGUUGGGUAUGUGACAGUGUAGAUUUAAUUAAAAUGAGCUUUGUUGGACCCAAUUUCAGUCAAUACAUUAAUGGGCCACAAUCAAAGACAUGGGCCGCGAGAACCGAAGCCCAUAGCGAGUAUUCGAGCUCGAGACAGAGACCCCGAGGUCUCGGAGAUCGCGGAGCGGUUACGAAGAUCACGGUGUCGACCCACUAUAAAGAAGGAGGAACGGAUACGAAGGAGGACACGUUGAAAACCCUAGAGAGAGCUACACCCACACUUCGACCUUGUUUUCAUCAACCUUUAGAUCUUUUCUUUGAACGAUCUGAUUGUAACAUUCGAUCUCGUUUUGCUCAUUGUAUUCGAACUCAUUCAUCAAUAAAAGUCUAUUUUUGCCUACCGGAAACUGAUUAUAUCGUUGUGUUCUAAAGAUAUUAUUGCCUACAUCAUUUAUCUUAUCCUGAUUAAACUCCCGAUCCCUAUCAGAUUCUUAGUGUAGAUUUUAGGAUCUACAGGCUUGUAUUUGAGUUUUUGUUAACUAUGGUCAUGGUUUUACAAUGUGGCAUGUAAUUCUGUAUUCUGGUUCAACCGGUCGUCGGGUUUAAUAAGCACCAUAUAGUGUUCUAUAAAGUGGAGUGAGCUUAUUUCUUAGGCUUCUCGUAACAGUAAGUUUAUUUUUAUUUGGGAUUAAAUAAGUUUUGGCUAGCCUGUGUUUUUUUGUCAAAGUAAAAAUCAGUUCAAGAUGGCUAUCAGUUAGUACACAUUAGUUAUGAUCAUAAGGUUUGUAGCUAUCGACGUAUCAAAGAGAAGAAGGCUAAUAGAAGGAUUUUCUCAAUAAUAACCGUCCACACCCACCCGUUCUAAUUUUUGGUGAAGUAGGCUUCUCUGGUACUUCUAUUUUUCGCACCAUCAGUACUUGGAUAAAUAUAAACAUUUCCGUGAAAUGUAAUACACUUAUUAAUAAUAAAUAUAAAAACAAAUGUCAAGUCAAAAAUGUUAGAAAUUGUUAGUCUGUAGAAAAUAUAUAUCUCUACUAAUAAAAGGGAGCUUUUGAGGCUCCAUAGGGCGUCCACAUCAGCGGAAAAAAUUUCUCCCGAAAGAUGACACGUGGCAUAAAAUAUAGUUUUACAUUUUAAAAUUAAUUAUUUUCGAAAAUUGUAAAAAAUAUGUAAACAUACAGCAUUAAAAAUGGAAAACUACAUAAAACAUAUGUAAGAUUACUAUUUUUCACUCUACUAAUAAAAUGGAGCUUUUGAGACUCCAUAGGGCGUCCACAUCAGCGGAAAAAAUUUCUCCCGAAAGAUGACACGUGGCAUAAAAUAUAGUUUUACAUUUUAAUAUUAAUUAUUUUCGAAAAUUGUAAAAAAUAUGUAAACAUACAGCAUUAAAAAAUGGAAAACUACAUUAAACAUAUGUAAGAUUACUAUUUUUCACUUUAAAAAAAAGACGGCUUAUCUCCAUAAUAUAACAUUACCGUUUUAUAUAUAAAAAAAAUUAUAUAUAAUUUCGAAAAUAAUAAAUAUAUGUAAAACAUACAACAUAAAAAUGGAAAUACUACAUUAAACAUAAAUAUGUUUGACUAUUUGUCCAAGUUCUUCUAUUAAACAUUGCCGUUUUACAUUAAAAAUGGAAAAAUACGUAAAGAUUUAAACAUCUAUCUUAAAAUAUAAAAUAUAGACAUUAACUAAAUAUAAAGUAUAAAAAAGAGAAAUACUCAAUAUAUAGAAAAAUAAAUAAUAAGUAAAUAUUAUAAAUAUAUAAAUAUACGAAUUAUAUAUACAAUAAUAAGUAAAUGCACAAUUUUUAAAAAAUGGAAAGAGUACAUUAAAUAUUAAACAUCUAUCUUAAAAUGUAAAAUAUAGAUAUUAAGUAAAUAGAAAGUAUAAGAAAAGGAAAUACACAAUUUAAAAAAAUGGAAAAAAUACAUUAGUAUUUAAACAUCUAUCUUAAAAUGUAAAUCAAUCUUAAAAUAUAAAAUUAUUAGUAAAUAGAAAGUAUAAGAAAUAGAAAUACACAAUAUAAAGAAAAAUAAAUAAUAAGUAAAUAUAUAAUAUAAGUGAAUACCAAAUUUAAAAAAUGGGAAAUUACAUUAAGAUUUAAAAAUAUAUAUUAAAAUUUAAAAUAUAGAUAUUACGUAAAUAGAAAGUAAAACAAAUGGAAAUAUACAAUUUAAAAAAAUGGAAAACAUACAUUAAGAUUUAAACAUCUAUCUUAAAAUGUAAAAUAGAGAUACUAAGUAAAUUAAAAGUACAAGAAAUGGAAAUACAUAUACAUGAAAAUAAAUAAUAAUUAAAUAAUGUAAAUAUAUAAUAUAUGAAUUAUAUAUGUAAUAAUAAGUAAAUACACAAUUUUUUAAAAAUGGAAAAAGUUAAUCAAGCAUUAAACAUCUAUCUUAAAAUGUAAAAUAUAUAAUAUAAGUAAAUACACAAUUUAAAAAAUGGAAAAAGUACAUUAAUAUUUAAAUAUCUAUUUAAAAAUAUAAAAUAUAGAUAUUACGUAAAUAAAAAUAUAAGAAAUGGAAAUAAACAUUUAAAAAAAUGGAAAAAGUACAUUAAGAUUUAAGCAUCUAUCUUUAAAUGUACUUCUAUCUUAAAAUGGUAGUAAAUUAUAUAAAAAUGGAAAUACCACAUUAAACAAAAAAAAAUGUAUAGUUUUACAUCAAGAAAGUCUCUAUAAAACUCAUUAUUCCAUCCACAUCAACCUCACACUAUUAAGGAAAAUUUCAAAGCACUCGAGCAAAAAAAUGGUUUCACUAUCAACUCUUGCCGUCCCAGAAACCUUUAAUGACCUUGAAUGAGAUUUUUUUAUAACAACAAACUUUUUGUUAGGUGGAUUCAUUGUUGGGAAACCCGCAACUUCCAAAAACCAAACUUAUUCAUGGGAAUUGAAUUGCUUUUCAUAGACUCAAAGGUAUUCUUACAAAUUUAAAUUAAUCUAAUCUAUAAUUUUAUUGUUAAUAUUCAUACUAACUCUUUCAUGAUCAAACCAUUUCAGUUAAUAACCAUUCAAGCGUUUAUCCCGAAACACUUCCUUCCUCGCCGAAUCAGGUAUUGGUUCAUGUUGGUUUAGUAUUGUUUUUGGUUUACUAACCGGUUUAGGAUGGUCCUAUUGUAAAUAUAAUUUAAGUUGGUUUAGCAUAUAUUAUGUUUAAAAUAACUUAAAUUAAAUAAUAAUAAUAUUAUGCUUAAAAUAUAAUUUUAGAGAGUUUUCAAAUAUAGUUUACAGAACAUUAUAGGUGAUGAAUUUAAUUUAUUAAAUUCGUUUAUUACUUAAAACUAAGGUUUUUUAAAAAACAUACUGAGUUAUACAUAUCAAUGAUGGAUUGGUGAGUAUAACAUGAAGACAAAAAUAUAAAUAUCUGAUUUUCAAGAUAAGAAAUUCAGCUUUUAUUCAGAUACUCAAUAUAUAAUAUCUUAAAUUAUGUUUUAAAAAAUAUACAUAAUUUAUAUAUAUAGAUUAAUCUUCAAAACUUAAACUAUUAUAUUAUAUAUGAAUAAUGUUUUUAAAUAAAAAUAAUUUCUGAUUUAAAAUAAAAAUAAAAACAACAAAUGUUUAUUUUCAAAUAAUGGAUGUAAAUUACAUUAUACUAUCAUUUAACAAGUUUUAGAUACGUUUUGAUAUAUCAUUAUUUUUUAUUUCCAGAAAACAAUAAAUUGUUAAACAUCAAUAUCAUCUAGGUUAAGUAUACGAACAACAAAAAUUCAAACAUCACAAAAAAUAUUUACAUAACCAUUAUAAUACAAUAAUUUAAUCAAAAAUACAAUUAAAAAAAUAUUAAAAAGAAUAGUUAUAUACUUAAUAUUUGAAAAUAAAAGAUAUUUUUGCUAAAAUUAUACUUACCUGGCCAAGGAGAUCGACCAUCUUUUUACGGAUCAUUCGAAUGUUGAGCAUGUGGUCGAUCCAAAAAUACUCUGCAGUUUAAUAAAAUCUCUAAAACAUUUAUUCCAACACUCAAAAGAUAGUUUUGCUAAAUAUGAUAACUAGAUAGCCAAUAAAAUUACAAAAAAAUAUUUAAAUAGUAAAAAAUAUGUUAAUUUAACGUGUUAAAAUUUAAAAAUAAAUUUUAAUUAUGACAUGCAUUUUAACAUUUAUAUAAAUAUAAAUCAUAGCCUUAAUAUAAAUAAUUUAACAACUUAAAUUAGAAAAAAAAUAAAAAAACCCGGGCGUAGCCCGGGUUAAUCCCUAGUACUAUACUAAAAGGGAUAUAUGAACUUCAGGGAGGACGUCCACGUCAGCUUGGAAAAUCAUCCAAUAGGGAGGUUGCUUUUUGCCACGUCACACGGAUCAAAGUGUUAUUGGGCUUCCUUUUUUUUUUACGAUCCCGCAUGUUAAUCUGAAUGGCCCAGAAAACCCCAUUUCCUUUUGCUCUUCCUCUUUUUCGUUUCCGUUUGACGAUAUGAAAAUAUAAAUAACUCUUCGGCUCUUAAGCACUCCGACCACCACAUGUGUAACGUCAUCCGCUUUUCCCUUACAUCUCCUUUAAUCUUAACAUUUACAUCGAACCCACUACUAUUCCGUUUUCAACUUUUUAGGAACAUAAUUUUUUCUAAUUUUCAUUUGAUCUGAACAAAAGAGGAUCAGCAGAAGGACGGUUCGAAAAGAAGUUGAACAUGAACGUGAGGCUUAAUCAUCAAGUUAACAAGUUAUUAAACUUCAGAUCAAGGUCGAUGAUAAGACAUGUCAAUUGUCGAUGAGAAGACAAGUCAAAUCGUUGGAUGCUCUCUUCAAGACCUUUGAUUGUGGCUCUGUAUCACGUGUUCAUCCACUCAGUUUAAUCGGCGAUGGUGACUAUUUUAUGAUUCAGUCAUAAUUUCAGAAACUUUGUUUUCCCCAAAAAAAGAAACUUUUUGAAAUAUUUUUCCUAUUCAAUGAUAUGUCUUUAUGUUGGUGAUCUUCAAUCAUGACCGAUGAUUUUAACGGCCUCUCCCCUGAUAUUGAUGAUCCUCCUUAGAAAGCUCACAAAACCUGAUCUUCCACAAUCCAAUCGACAAACCAAAGCAGAAUAUCAAAAGAUCUACAGGUAUUGCUUUUUUCUUUCUGGAAUAUCUUAGUCCUCUGGAUUUUUGGUCAGUUUAAUAUAUAUGGUAUUGAUUCUGUGUUUCUCGCCCUUGUCAGUCUUCAGAAGACACAGAGGUAGGCUUCAUUAACUCACACUAUAGUCCUAGAUGUAGACCUUUAGGUGAUUUUAACCAAUUAAUUAAUUGGAAUGUUACAUUGACAAGAAUCGGGAGAAAUAACUUACCACCAUAAAAGUGAAUCUGUCUUUGUAGAGUUUAGUGGGGGGUUAACAAAAACAGUCCUUAAUAAUAAGAAAUGUGAAUAGUAGUAAAUGUUCAUACAUAUGCUUUUGAUACUCACUGACUUAAUAUAAGAAACUUUAUUACAUUUACAAGACUCUAAAUGUAUACUUCAACAACCUUAUCGCAGUCAACCUAGCUUCGGAGCUGACAAGAACGUGGAUAAUAACUAGCAGUGGCUGUCGACUAAAGGUGCAUCACUCGGUUGAUACAAUGCGAGUUGCAAGAAAAGUUUCACGUUAAAUGUGCAAAACUGAUGCCAAAAUGCAGAUGGGACAAUGUAAGUGUUGCAUAUAUUAUAUAUAUGAUAGUUCCUUUUUAACACCUUUUCUUAUGAAUAAAUGAACUUUGUAAUGCUAUGCCCUUCAAAUGCAUCCUCUAAGUUCCCCUGUGGAUAGACUAAUCCAAAAGAAAUAAAAUGCAAGUGUAUUCCCAGUAAAGGGUAUUGUCAUUUUCAUGUGUUGAUAGGAAUUAUAAGGUGAUUCUUAUUUUUGAAAAUAGAUUGCUUAUAAUCACUUUCUCUAGGCCACAACACUCUCAGCCUAAUCAAGUAUCAAAAAAAACUGACAUCAUUUAGCUCCAGAGCAAGCCUGUUCAUGGAUUACCCAAGAAAUAUGUUCUAUGUUGUUCAGGACUUACAAAUGAAGAGAAAUAUGGUUUUUUUACUCUUUUGUUUGCGAUUUGGUCAAAUCACAAAUUUGCCAAAGUGUGUCUAUAUCUUUUCUUGCAGGGAUCAAUGCAUGUCUGAAAAACAUAGAAUGUAUAACCGAGCUACAUGAGAUUUCCAUAGAUGAUCAUGGAACACGACAAGGACCUUAUAUUGGAAGACAUAGCCUUGAACAAGGUUAGCUUCGUUUAUCUCUCUGUAUAUAUGUUCCAACAGACUUGAGAAUAUGAACAUCGUAACAGUUUAAUUUACCAAUACGCAGAAACCAAAACUUUAUAAUGGACUGAAGUUUUACAUUAUUGGAUAUUUCAAGCUUGCUUACAAAGGAUAUCUUCAAGAUAUAGUAGCAGGAGGAACAAUGGAGGUGAUCCAUUUCUACUGAUGACUUGAACAGUUAUAGUGUGUAGUUUUGAGCCAAGCAAGAAGAAAACUCUGACACAAAGACGAAUUGAUGUUGAAGUCUUGGAGAGCAGGAGCAAGAACUGCAAACAGUUCAUGGGUCUUGGAUUCUAUUGCAGAUUGCCAAAUUCUAGACUUGAUAUAAUAAAUUUGUGAGAUUACAUCUUUGGGUAUUUUGUUUUAGUAAUUUCAUUUGUUUCCUUGCCGUUAAUGCUUGCAGAUCUUAGAUUUGUAGAUGAAACUGAGAGUGUUGACUCAUAUAGUUUUGCAUCAUAACUCAGCAAAAAAGUUAAAUAUAUAUAAUUUAUGAUUAUGAUGCAGUACUCACUUAGCGAAUGAAUGCAAUAAGAUGUAGUACUCAUUUUUAUUUUAAUACAUAGACUGCUGCAAGUAAGUGUUAUUAUCUAAAGUAAGUUUCCCGAGAAAUUUUUCAUAUUAAAUAAGUUCAAACUAAUAUGUAUACAUUAUUUCUUUUUACACUAUCACUUAAAAAAUAUUUUUGAAUCAAAAGAAAAAAAGUCCACUUUGAUUAUAUGUUUAUUUUUCCUUAACACUCUAAUUCUAUGUUUGUUUUCAAAUAAUAGAUAUCUCUGUCUUUAUAUACAAGAGUUACUUGAAAUUUGAUUUUGUAAAAAAAUUAACAAUAUUGACACAAUACAAAUCCAAAUGAUCAAAAAAAUGUUAUCGAUAUAAACCCCCAAAUUUGUAAAAAAAAUUAUUCAGACUCCCAAACUAUUAAAUUCAUUAUUAAAAAGUUUACAAUUUUCAAAGCCUCUAAAAUUUCGGGAUAAGUUUUUGAAGGACAUUAACACUUAUCCAAUAACAACUCUCCCCUUUAAACAAACGAAAACGAUAUGAAUUGAAAUACCUAAAAUAUUGUUUUGUUAGAUCAAGAUAAGUGUUAAAUUAUAACUAAAAAAUAUUAUAAAAUUAACAAAUGUUCCACACGAAAUGCAGAAAAAUAAAUUAUCAAAAUAGAUAAUAGAUACAAAUGUAUAAUUGCAAUAGAUACAAAUGUAUGAUUGCAAUAUUAAAAAUUUGAAACACGUAUAAUUGUAAUUUUUGGUAUUACAAUUUAGAGAUAACUUAAAACUUAAAUAAACUAUACAUUUAAAAAUAUUUAAUAAAAAAUAUGAUAUAUUAUGUACUUUUUUAGUUACUAACCCGUCCGUAGGACGGGCCAAACCCUAGUAUACUAAUAAAUAUAUCUUAUCACCGUACAGGAAAAAAAAUAUACUAAUAAAUACUAAAACAAACCGAAGUAAAUAAUACAACGCUUAAAUUAAUCAUUUAUACAAUCAAACUACUAUAUUAAUGACUACGCGAGAGUAUUAAAUUAUUAAUUGAGCAUAUCAGUCUGCGACGACAAAAGUGGGAGGCCCUUGGUGCGAGAUCGAGUUAAUGUCAAAUGGUAUCACCAGUGAGGAGCAAUGCACUUUGAACUUGGAAUUCGAUCAUACAAUUUUCAUGGAAUAUACCGCAGUUAAAAGUUUUAUCUUAGUAAAAAUGUAAAUAUAAGCAUCAUCACUUUUAACAUUAUAGAAAUAGAAGUCAUUAUUCUCAAAACUGAGUCAUAAUUACAUAUAUGAAAUAGUAUUAAAGAAAGCGAGUUGUGAAACCAAUCUACCAACUUUUUUUUUUUUGAAACUAAUCUACCAACCUUUUUUAACGUUGAAAAACCAUUCAAUAACCGUCCACUCCCGCCCUUUCUAUUUUUUUUCUGUGAAGUAGGCCUCACUUGGUCUUCAAAGACACUGAGGCAGGCUGUUGCAGACCUGCAUUGUGUGGACUCAGAUUAGGUCCUUAGGAAUAUAUUAACCUACACGUAAAGCUAUUUAAGAACCUAAGAGCAACAUUAUCGUCAGGACAAAAUUUUGGUAUGUUAGCAUUUUCUAUUAAUAUUUUAAGACCAAGAGACAAUACUAAGGUACAAUAGGAAAUGGGUAGAUUAUUGGUAGAUACUUUUGUUGUCUCUUAGUAAAUAAACAAGGCAAGAACAGAGAUCUAUUGAAGCAAAACUCAAAAAGAGAUAUCAUCAAAGAUCAAAGCUUUAUGGACAAACAAUCAAACCCAGAAACUUAAAUUCCAUUAAAACUGUAAACCCAAUUCAAUCAAGCGUGGUAAGAAGAGUCAUCAGAGUUAAUCGUAAUUGGAAGAAGCAGGACAAGACUUAUCACCACCGUUAAACCACCAACCAUCGUCUCUGCCAAUGCUGUUUCCGUUAUCAUUAUUGCCGCCGAUAUCUCCAGAAGGAAAGCAGUUUCUCGCUCCUAGCUAUUGAUUAGUAAAGCUCUCAUUAGCAGUGGCGACUAAUCGUGGGAACUGGGAAAGGGAGGGAAGCGGUGGUGGUUGGAGUGAUUGCGGUGGGAGAAGUACUGUCCAAUUUUAUUUCAAGAGAAGAAGAGACACGUGUUCAUAAGGAACGUUUGUUAUCAAUACUAUUAAAACAGGAAUAUGCCCCAUUGAUAUUAGUUGAGUCCAAUUUUAAAAAAAUAAUUUUUAUAUAACUGCAUCAAAUAUAACUGCAUCAGUUGAUAUAUUCAUAAUUAUGUAGAUAAUUGAGUAACUAGAUCUAAAAUUAACUAAAAGGGACGUAGGAAGCAGUUACGUAGAAGAGUUGAUCAAUUAUAUUAGAAAUAAUCAAGACCCACUUUACUGAAUUAUCUGACCCACUAAAUAAUAUAUAUCUUCUUUUAUCAAAUAGUUAAUCUGGUCAUAGAUUAUAAAUCAAUACUAUUAAAACAGGAACAUGCCCCAUUGAUAUUAGUUGAGUCCAAUUUAAAAAAAACUGAUUUUUAUAUAACUGCAUCUAAUUAUAUUAAAACACUAACUAUGUUGUAAUUUAUAACUUCUUCUACCUCUAGCAGAAGCAGUUAUCAGGUUCUCUUUAAAAGCGCUUUUUAUGAUCAUCGAUUAAUUACUCAGUAACAAACAAAUACAGAACUCAGACACAAAUUCAGAGUACACAAAUUAUAUUAUCUAUCCAUUUGUGGUUUCUGAAUUCACUUUCUAGCUGAUUUCCUUCGCUCCACUUACUGGUCGAAGACUACAAAAAUUAAGACAAAGGGCCAUGUUCGAAAAUGUUCGAGAUAUAGAGCUAUGCUUGGGCGUGGUGAUUUCGUCAUAAGCGGCGAGCAAAUCGAAGGUCGCGAUUUUUUUCUUUUUUGAGUUUUGAAUGUUUAAAACUGAUUUUUUACGACAGAUCUAUGUAUUUGAGACUACUGAUACGUAAUCACACAACAAUUUGAUAAUUUACAAGGAAAUAGUUGAUGGCCGCAUGAAAAUAGAUUUACAGUGUCAAAACCCUAAAAAAAAAUCUGGAAAAGAUGAUGAAAAUUACAAUUAUGCCACUUAUUAAAAAAAAAAAAAAAAAUGCACAACAAGCUUUUGUCGUAUAGAAUUAGGAAACUGCCGACAAAAAAAAAAUUAGGAAACUAAUUCCAAGCAACUGAACCAACAAUUGCCACCAGGCCACUGAAAUUUAAUAUUAUUGAUCCCAAAUUUAUUAAUUACAAAACUCGGUUUAACCAAUUCCAAGCAUAAUCAAAUAAGUUUGAUUCUUAAUACUUACCAUAAAUGAAAUUUCUUGAUCAAUUCCUGAUUUUAGUCGUUUGUAAUAGGAAACCAAAAUCAUUCUUUUCCUUACACACAGUUAUUUUAUUUUCAUUACACACUUGCUAUAUUUUCUUUAGCAUUUAUAAAAAUAAUUUUACAUAAAUAUUUUUGGUCAUUUAUAUUAUUAAGUGGACAUUAUACCUGCGGGUAAAGAUCUAGAACAAACAAAUAUGAUUUUAAAAAAACGGAUAUACGGACAUAUAAUUACAAA
RNAcentral lists this long non-coding RNA (36180 nucleotides) under Brassica napus (rape). Its description in RNAcentral is "long non-coding RNA (BNAP_LNC003543)". The stretch from base 24022 to 24142 matches the Rfam family "MIR405 microRNA precursor family". Lineage: Eukaryota; Viridiplantae; Streptophyta; Magnoliopsida; Brassicales; Brassicaceae. The record is from RNAcentral.